UUUAAGCGAGGAGGCACGCUACUUGGAUUAAGUACUCUAGGAUACUGGACGUUACUCGCAGAAUAAGCACCGGCUAACUCUGUGCCAGCAGCCGCGGUAAUACAGAGGGUGCGAGCGUUAAUCGGAUUUACUGGGCGUAAAGCGUGCGUAGGCGGCUUUUUAAGUCGGAUGUGAAAUCCCUGAGCUUAACUUAGGAAUUGCAUUCGAUACUGGGAAGCUAGAGUAUGGGAGAGGAUGGUAGAAU
RNAcentral lists this ribosomal RNA (244 nucleotides) under Acinetobacter johnsonii. Its description in RNAcentral is "partial 16S ribosomal RNA". It matches the Rfam family "Bacterial small subunit ribosomal RNA", at positions 434 to 667 of the family's 1533-position model. The record is from RNAcentral. Lineage: Bacteria; Pseudomonadati; Pseudomonadota; Gammaproteobacteria; Moraxellales; Moraxellaceae.